RNAcentral lists this ribosomal RNA (375 nucleotides) under Triticum aestivum (bread wheat). Its description in RNAcentral is "partial small subunit ribosomal RNA". The record is from RNAcentral. Lineage: Eukaryota; Viridiplantae; Streptophyta; Magnoliopsida; Poales; Poaceae.
AUGCUUCUCCAGCAGGGGAGGGCGAUCUGCGCCGAUGCGCGCAGGGGAGGGCAAGCACCCGCGGAGAGCUGCGCUGUCGCGCGCGGGCGUGGGGGAGAACCCGUGGCAAGCUGCGGUGGCUUGUGUAGGUAUCCGCGAGGCGAGGACGAGCUGCGCCGGCGCCUACAGACAUGGACGAGCACCGGCGAGGAACCACAGUGGCUCGCGCAGGCAUCAGCAAGGCAUGGGCCAUCGGCGGGGGAGCUACGGUUGCUCGCACACGCGUGGGCAAGCUAUGGCGCAGAGAUGCGGUGGCUUCCGCAAGCAGCAGUGGGGUACGGCGACGAGCUAGCCCAAGAGCAAUCCUUAUCCAACCAGUCCACACACAUCAGAUAA